UGUGUGCGUGUGAGUUGUGUAUAUACACACACAACUCCAAGGACAUAAUAUCAAUUUGUAAUGAAAAAAUAAUGGGGGUUGAUGAGAUAAACAAUGCGAUGGUCAUGAACCCAACUUUAUAAUAAAUAAAGUAGGAAGGGUGUGAUGACUUUGUGUUGUGAGUUAAGACACUCUGAUGAUGAACCCACAGUCUUUGGUGAAGUAAAACUAAAGGUGACUUGGAGUUGGUGGUGUAUACAGUAUAACUCCCAGGACAUAAAAUCAAUUUAUAUAGAGUCACUCAAACAGAAGGUGGAUGAUGACUUUGUUUUGAUGACAUAUCCAAUUCCAGGGUCAUGAUGAACCCACAAUUUGUGAUGAAUUAAAAAAAAGAAGGAUGACUUGGAUUUGAUGAGAUAUACAAUUCCUAUUUUUUCACAAUGUUUCUUCUCUGCCAUGCUUGUCAUCUAUCAAUGCUCGCUCCAUCCCUCUCUUGGUGCGCAUGUACCUCCACACACCUCUGGCGCCAACCCUCUUGCCUACGUAAGUAUUGUCACUCUCUGCACAACCAUUUUUUGUUCUCUCUUUUUUCUUGUUACUGAUUCAGAGGAAUAAAGUCUUUAGUGAGCAUCUUUUCUCUUUUUCUCUUAUUAUAUUGAUAAGAGGAAGUGUUAGAGAUUUGUUGUCUUCAAAUAUACAAUAUAUGCGUAUAACUUCCCUCAAAGUUUAAAACGAUGUUCGGGACUACCGUGACUGCUGUAUGUUUACUUAUUUAUGCCCGGGCUGGUGUAAUGUAACUUGGGUCUCCAGACUGACGGGUUAUAGUCACUGUACAGUACUGUAAAUGAGAUAUUAGUGGAUUUGAGUGGAAGAAAUACACCUACUAUACAAUACACACGCUUUAUACUUUUUUGUGAAAAUAUAACCCAGAAAACCCAAAAGGGUUUACGUGACAUCAAACUGACGUAUAAAGUAGCUUAUCACCAGGUGUAGAAAUUUUUAUUGGGUGAUACGGUAUUCAAAGAUUAAGAAUAAAUGUCAUUGAGAGACUUCCUACGAUUUAGAUGUUGUUCAGUGAUGUAUAAUCAGUUGAGCUUUAGAUGUGGUCAGGUGCUUUUCAAAGACUUUAUUCCUCAAAAUGUGAUCCAAAUGUUGAGUGGAAGAGGCGGGGUGUGAGGCACCAGCACACUCUGUAAACUGUGUCCCUCCCCCCCUCCCCCACCACUCUCUCCUCUAUGGUGCUAAGUGUUCUUGUCCGUGUUCAGGGUAAGUCACCACUAACUAUGUCAAGAGGUUAAAUACUCCACAACAUACUGAGGAGGCCAUGCUACACCUCCACAAUAAAUUGAGAGAAUUAUGCUUAGUCUCCACAACAAACUGAAGAGGUUAUACUAGACCUCCACAGCUAAAUAGGGUCAUAGUAGACUUUCACAACAAAUUACACAGGUUAUAACAACUAUACGGGUUAUCAGAAGCUCAUAUCAUCCUGUGCAAAGAUUUACACAUUAUCAGAACUAGGUUUAAGCUUCUCUGUGUUACCAUGUUUACAGGAACACCAAGUACUCUGCCUCAGUAGUGGGCAGCCAUCAGAUAGGGUAUAUGUGUUUAUCCUAACUUAUUACUGUAAUCUUGUUAUAAGUAUCAGUUACACCUUAUCAGUUUAUUGUUAACUUAACACUUAGUAUAAGUAAUAAAUACACCAUCUUAGUGCAUGAUGGUGUACCUCAUUAACUUAACACUGUGGGUUCAGUAAGAGAUACAGCAUCAGAGUACAGUACUUGGACCACAUUACUACAGCAUUACAAGUAACUGGUAAAGGCUACACACGGCCUCAGUUUCCCCCCAAAUUAUUAUAGUUUUAAUUAGGAUAACGUGCCUGUAGGUAUAUUAACUUCAUUACCAUUGUUUACAAGUGUUUCCCCCUCACUACCCCCCCCCCCACAGAGUUAUGGCUAAUCCUUCAAAAGUUUGUCCACAAAAAUCACAUCGCAAGUUUGUGUUUAGAGUUGUCAGAAUAUUACUUAACUGUGUUAAGUUUCAGGGCUCCCCCUGACACACUAACAUUGUUGACUUAUACUCUUCCCCAUCCCUCUUCCACCCCACCAAUGUGUCUGGUACGUAUGUCCUGUGGUGGUCUUGUUAUGAUGCAACCCGCAGUGCAGGCAGACUGUCACCACAUACAGCAGGAGACACUGUAAACAGCAAUGAGACUUACUAUAUAACAUAUACAAGAGAAUGACUCUGUCUAUUAUAAUGUCAACAAACUGACUGCGUGUAUGUCAUGGCCCGAGGAGACUGGCACCAUUUUGGCUACAGUUUUGGACAUUUAAUGUCAUAUAGGACUCUCAAGCUUGUGUCUCUUUCUCUCCAGUUUUCUUGGUGGAUGAAACUUGAUGCUUAGAAACAUCAUCAUCUGAUCAGUACUUGUUAGGCCAUCUUAUCAGCUGUUAUCGCAAUACACAAUGUUGUUGCUAGAAUUAAAAA
Long non-coding RNA from Homarus americanus (American lobster), 2463 nucleotides. RefSeq lists it as uncharacterized. The transcript has 2 exons. The record is from RefSeq and is a predicted model, not a curated record. NCBI's taxonomy places the organism in Eukaryota, Metazoa, Arthropoda, Malacostraca, Decapoda, Nephropidae.